CUUUCGAUCGUUGCGCCCUCCAUCCUACUCUUCCCCCCCCCCCGCGCCGCCCAAAACACCUUGCUUUGCCACACCCUCAAGGGAACUCAGCAGUGAUAGAUAUUAAGCCAUAAGUGAAAACUUGACUUAGUUAAGGUUUAGAGGGCCGGUAAAAUUCGUGCCAGCCACCGCGGUUAUACGAAAGGCCCAAGUUGACCACCACCGGCGUAAAGCGUGGUUAGGUUUAUGUACAAUAUGACUAAAGUCGAACUCCUUCAAGGCCGUUUAACGUGUUCGAAAGGGAGAAGCACAACUACGAAAGUGACUUUACAAACCUGACUCCACGAAAGCUAAGGCACAAACUGGGAUUAGAUACCCCACUAUGCUUAGCCCUAAACAUAGAUAGAAUGCCACCCUUCUAUCCGCCCGGGUACUACGAGCAUUAGCUUAAAACCCAAAGGACUUGGCGGUGCUUUAGACCCAUCUAGAGGAGCCUGUUCUAGAACCGAUACUCCCCGUUAAACCUCACCCCUCUUUGUCUCUUCC
RNAcentral lists this ribosomal RNA (525 nucleotides) under Gerres equulus. RNAcentral describes it as "partial 12S rRNA". It matches the Rfam family "Bacterial small subunit ribosomal RNA", at positions 138 to 991 of the family's 1533-position model. The record is from RNAcentral. Lineage: Eukaryota; Metazoa; Chordata; Actinopteri; Gerreiformes; Gerreidae.